AUGUGCACCACCGAGAGCGGCGACGUCCUCUGCCUCACCUUCUGGGCCGCGCGCCCGCCGCUCCUCUCCUACUUCACCGUCCACCUCCCCGGCCUCCUCCCUGCCACCCCGCUCGACCGUCUGCCCCGCGUCCUCCGCACCCACGGCGAUGUCGCCCUCCUCCGCAUCCCCGUCGGCCCGAAAGGCAACGACUACUUUCUCUACAGCGCCAGCGCCCGCUUCAGCAUGGUCAUGCCCCUCCCCACCUGCCCGCUCACGGACGGUUCUAUCGGCCUUCUGCGCUGCCCGGGCCAAGACAGGCUCUUUGUCGCCGUUCUCCACAAGACCUUGGCCCGGGGGUACUACGCCGUCGACCUGUUGGAGUUCGACCACGGGUCGUGGACCUGGAGCACUCGUCUGAUGCAUGCCGAGUCGCCUCAGGAAUGUGACUUUGGCAUCCCGACCAAGUCCUUCGCCCUCCCGGGCUCGAUCUGCUGGGUCGACCAUGUGAAAGGCAUCCUUAUCUGUGAUCUGCUAGAUGGUGAUGAUGAAGUCCAUCGUUUCAUACGGUUCCCUGUGCUGGCGCCGCCCAAGAAGAAGAGAAUUGCAGGCUAUGAUCGGGAUGUUGCUGUCGGCUCGGAUGGCUGCAUCAGAUACAUGGAGGUGUGGGCUCAUCCCGUGCCUGGAUCAGACAAUGGCGUCACCUACACUCUGCAGGACUGGGGCGCCGCCAUAGAAAGAUGGCUGGAGCCCGAUAAGAAGUGGAUAAUCAGCCAUGAGCUCAAGGCAUCACAGAUUGCGGUGGACGACAGCCACUCUGGGUUGCUUCCUCGUGUCGAGGCUGCAAUGGAGAGUCCAAUCUUGAGUAGACUCCACGCAGGGCAUCCUUCUCUCAGCUUGCAUGACGAUGAUGUUGUUUACAUCAUGGCCAAGGUUGACCACAGGGACGAACAGUCGUGGAUGCUCUUGACAUGA
Molecule: ribosomal RNA, 954 nt
Filed under: Triticum aestivum (bread wheat)
Lineage: Eukaryota; Viridiplantae; Streptophyta; Magnoliopsida; Poales; Poaceae
Description: partial small subunit ribosomal RNA
Source: RNAcentral